This is a microRNA precursor of Gadus morhua (Atlantic cod), 58 nucleotides long. Ensembl annotates it as gmo-mir-103-2. Its record names the gene gmo-mir-103-2. NCBI's taxonomy places the organism in Eukaryota, Metazoa, Chordata, Actinopteri, Gadiformes, Gadidae. The record is from Ensembl.
AGCCUCUUUACAGUGCUGCCUUGUCGAGUUGUUCAAGCAGCAUUGUACAGGGCUAUGA